RNAcentral lists this ribosomal RNA (468 nucleotides) under uncultured bacterium. RNAcentral describes it as "partial 16S ribosomal RNA". It matches the Rfam family "Bacterial small subunit ribosomal RNA", at positions 28 to 507 of the family's 1533-position model. The record is from RNAcentral.
GACGAACGCUGGCGGCGUGCUUAACACAUGCAAGUCGAACGGAAAGGCCCUGCUUUUGUGGGGUGCUCGAGUGGCGAACGGGCGAGUAACACGUGAGUAACCUGCCCUUGACUUUGGGAUAACUUCAGGAAACUGGGGCUAAUACAGGAUAGGAGCUCCUGAUGCAUGGUGGGGGUUGGAAAGAUUCGGCGGUUUGGGAUGGACUCGCGGCUUAUGAGCUUGUUGGGGGGGUAGUGGCUUGCCAAGGCUUUGACGGGUAGCCGGCCUGAGAGGGUGACCGGCCUCAUUGGGCCUGAGAUACGGCCCAGACUCCUACGGGAGGCAGCAGUGGGGAAUAUUGCACAAUGGGCGGAAGCCUGAUGCAGCAACGCCGCGUGCGGGAUGACGGCCUUCGGGUUGUAAACCGCUUUCGCCUGUGACGAAGCGUUAGUGACGGUAAUGGGUAAAGAAGCACCGGCUAACUACGUG